This 253-nucleotide ribosomal RNA is filed under the name uncultured bacterium. Its description in RNAcentral is "partial 16S ribosomal RNA". It matches the Rfam family "Bacterial small subunit ribosomal RNA", at positions 524 to 776 of the family's 1533-position model. The record is from RNAcentral.
UACAGAGGUCCCAAGCGUUGUUCGGAUUCACUGGGCGUAAAGGGUGCGUAGGCGGUCGGGUAAGUCUGACGUGAAAUCUCCAAGCUCAACUUGGAAAUGGCGUCGGAUACUAUUCGGCUCGAGGAAUGGAGGGGAGACUGGAAUUCUCGGUGUAGCAGUGAAAUGCGUAGAUAUCGAGAGGAACACCAGUGGCGAAGGCGAGUCUCUGGACAUUUCCUGACGCUGAGGAGCGAAAGUGUGGGAAGCGAACAGG